RNAcentral lists this ribosomal RNA (245 nucleotides) under uncultured bacterium. RNAcentral describes it as "partial 16S ribosomal RNA". It matches the Rfam family "Bacterial small subunit ribosomal RNA", at positions 524 to 768 of the family's 1533-position model. The record is from RNAcentral.
GACGUAUGGGGCAAGCGUUGUUCGGAUUUACUGGGUGUAAAGGGCGAGUAGGCGGUCUUGUAAGUCAAAUGUGAAAUCUUAAAGCUUAACUUUAAAACUGCAUUUGAAACUGUGAGGCUAGAGUUCAGAAGAGGAGAAUGGAAUUCCCGGUGUAGGGGUGAAAUCUGUAGAUAUCGGGAAGAACACCAGUGGCGAAGGCGAUUCUCUGGUCUGACACUGACGCUGAGUCGCGAAAGCUAGGGGAG